AGAGUUUGAUGGUGGCUCAGGAUGAACGCUGGCGGCGUGCCUAACACAUGCAAGUCGAACGAAGCAUUUCAGAUGAAGUUUUCGGAUGGAUUCUGAGAUGACUGAGUGGCGGACGGGUGAGUAACACGUGGAUAACCUGCCUCACACUGGGGGACAACAGUUAGAAAUGACUGCUAAUACCGCAUAAGCGCACAGUACCGCAUGGUACAGUGUGAAAAACUCCGGUGGUGUGAGAUGGAUCCGCGUCUGAUUAGCCAGUUGGCGGGGUAAUGGCCCACCAAAGCGACGAUCAGUAGCCGACCUGAGAGGGUGACCGGCCACAUUGGGACUGAGACACGGCCCAAACUCCUACGGGAGGCAGCAGUGGGGAAUAUUGCACAAUGGGCGAAAGCCUGAUGCAGCGACGCCGCGUGAGUGAAGAAGUAUUUCGGUAUGUAAAGCUCUAUCAGCAGGGAAGAUAAUGACGGUACCUGACUAAGAAGCCCCGGCUAACUACGUGCCAGCAGCCGCGGUAAUACGUAGGGGGCAAGCGUUAUCCGGAUUUACUGGGUGUAAAGGGAGCGUAGACGGCAUGGCAAGUCUGAAGUGAAAACCCAGGGCUCAACCCUGGGACUGCUUUGGAAACUGUCAAGCUAGAGUGCAGGAGAGGUAAGUGGAAUUCCUAGUGUAGCGGUGAAAUGCGUAGAUAUUAGGAGGAACACCAGUGGCGAAGGCGGUUUACUGGACUGUAACUGACGUUGAGGCUCGAAAGCGUGGGGAGCAAACAGGAUUAGAUACCCUGGUAGUCCACGCCGUAAACGAUGAGUGCUAGGUGUUGGGGGGCAAAGCCCUUCGGUGCCGUCGCAAACGCAAUAAGCA
This 858-nucleotide ribosomal RNA is filed under the name uncultured bacterium. Its description in RNAcentral is "bacterial SSU rRNA". It matches the Rfam family "Bacterial small subunit ribosomal RNA", at positions 8 to 866 of the family's 1533-position model. The record is from RNAcentral.